Molecule: ribosomal RNA, 368 nt
Filed under: uncultured bacterium
Lineage: Bacteria
Description: bacterial SSU rRNA
Rfam family: Bacterial small subunit ribosomal RNA
Source: RNAcentral
ACGUAGGUGGCGAGCGUUAUCCGGAAUGAUUGGGCGUAAAGGGUGCGUAGGCGGACGAUCAAGUCCGGAGUGAAAGAUGUCAGCUCAACUGAUAUAGGCUCUGGAAACUGGUCGACUAGAGGACAGGAGAGGGCGGUGGAACUCCGUGCGUAGCGGUAAAAUGCGUAGAGAUAUGGAAGAACACCAGUGGCGAAGGCGGCCGCCUGGACUGAACCUGACGCUGAGGCACGAAAGCGUGGGGAGCAAAUAGGAUUAGAUACCCUAGUAGUCCACGCCGUAAACGAUGAGGACCAGGUGUCGGGGGUAGAACCUCGGUGCCGGCGUUAACGCUAUGAGUCCUCCGCCUGGGGAGUAUGCACGCAAGUGUG